Molecule: long non-coding RNA, 1046 nt
Organism: Gallus gallus (chicken)
Lineage: Eukaryota; Metazoa; Chordata; Aves; Galliformes; Phasianidae
Exons: 4
Source: RefSeq, a predicted model, not a curated record
UACCUCAGGACUGACAGAGGAUCAGGACUCCUAUCCAUGACUGACAGAGAUUCCUAGGGCUUUGUUGUCAGUGAAGGACACGACUUCCCUUGGGACAAACAACUGACAGAAGAAAUAACUUUUCAGUCUGAAUCCAGUAACCUUCUGGCCAGAUUGAAGACGACCUGUUUGGCAGGAUUUUUAAAGAGAGAUUUUCUCUUUGAUUUGCCCACAUCCUCCUGAUGCUGAAGUAUCCAAAAGAGAGGAGAGGAAAGUGAUUGCAGAAGCAAGAUAAACUUGGAACGUAGGAAGCUGCGGUUGAAUUAUUUUAUGGGUGUGAACACAGGCUCAGAGAAGCCCUGCUGUCACUGCAGCACGCUUAUUUUGAAGAUAAGUGUGAAUCAGCAUGCUGUUCUUAUAGGCAAAGAAGUAGCAGCAAGAAAUCUCAGACUAUGCAAGAGGAUCAUGACCUGGCAAUCAGAGGAUUUCUGCACUGAUCCAAGCCAGAAAAAAUGCUACUUUGCUUGGUGGACACUUCCCAUGGAUUUCUUACACAUCCACAUCCAAGGAGUGGAUGUAUCUGUCACGCACACCAAGCUGCUAACACCCGUGUGGUCUUGGUAGGAAAAUGCAAAGGAAAUCCAAAAGUGCUGGCCUUGACUCCCUUCCUCACUGUCCUUCCAUACCUGCUCUGCCUUGGCUUUGUGCCCUGCUCCCUCCCUAGCGCUCUUAUCUCCCACUGAACCUGAGAAACAAAUGCUUGUGGAAGCUAAGUCGUCCCCAGCUGUUCGCUCUGUUCCUGAGCUCCCUUCCUCCCUCUCAUUCCUUUUGGAUCUGUUUCUAAACUUUUUGGGGCAGCAACUACUUUUCUGCAUGCAACAUCAAUGGACACUGUUCUUGGCUGGCCUCAAGGCACAACUGGAAUAAAUGUGAAUAACAACAACAGUGACAAAAAGUAUCAACAUUGGUAAUGACAGUAAUAAUUAUUAUUGUUAUUAUUAUACAGUCAACCAGACUGACUUGGUAAUUAUUUGCAUAAUUUGUAUAUAUAAUUUGCAUAAGCAGAA